AUAGAGAGAAAAAUGUGACUUUAUUACCUUCACAUUCCCCCUUCUUUCAAUAAGAUAGGAAUUUUAUACUACUCUAAAUAAUUACUAACAACUCUCCUGAGAUUUUAUUGGUACUGAGAUAGUCAAUUCUGUACACACAACAUAUCGUUGAAAAUUUCUAAAUUCUAAAUUUCUAAUCAGCAGUGUAGGUCAUUCAAUGCAAAUCAAUAAAUUUUCUUAACAUAACAUAAUUUCUCAUCAGUCCAUGAGUACAGUAGAUAACAAAACAUAAUCCAAGUAUUCCGGCAAUUAGUACGAAAAGCGGGAAAACGCAAUGCAAACGCUCCAUUUGAAUACUUUUAGGGCAAAGCUAAAGCAAAAACAAAUAAACCUAAUCGAAGAGCGGAACCAAUUUUCCAAAAAAAAUGCAGCCGCAUAAAAAAGGGAAAAAGCACUACCGCAUAUGAAAAACAUAUUUAAAAUAUCUUUUCAUCUUGUAGAACCAAUUCAAUCGGGAAUAUAGUGCCCGGAUUAAAACGAUUCGAUACUUCCCACAAACGGACAACACAAACUUUUAACUUCCAUUGCAUCUUCAAAAUUGUUAUAUCCUUGAUGAAAUCAAUGUGAGUAGCCAUCUUUUGCAUAGGACAUAAGUUUUCUUGAAAUCUUGAUAGAAGAAGGAACAUUAGAAUUGAAGAACGUGUAGUUGUUGAAGAAAUAUAUAUUUGCAUUUUUGAACAGUUGCUACCCAGUAUACAAAAUCGUGGGUUACACAGUUGAAGCUAUAAAAUCGUGGGUUACACAGUUGAAGCUAUAAAAUCGUGGGUUACACAGUUGAAGCUAUCGUGCUUUUGCAGAGGAAAUUUAGGGUAAGUUGAAUAGAAGUUGGAACGGAUUAGAAGUGGAAGGUUUUGAAGGCUACUCGUAUUUUUGAGUAAGCCGUCUCAUUUUAACAAAUAAAAUAAUUUAAUAAUUUAAAGAAAUUAAAAAAAUAGAAAAUUAAAGAGAAGUUGGAACGGAUUAGAAGUGAAC
RNAcentral lists this long non-coding RNA (1011 nucleotides) under Nicotiana benthamiana. RNAcentral describes it as "long non-coding RNA (NBEN_LNC005182)". The record is from RNAcentral. Lineage: Eukaryota; Viridiplantae; Streptophyta; Magnoliopsida; Solanales; Solanaceae.